GAGUUUGAUCGUGGCUCAGAUUGAACGCUGGCGGCAGGCCUAACACAUGCAAGUCGAGCGGAUGAAGGGAGCUUGCUCCUGGAUUCAGCGGUGGACGGGUGAGUAAUGCCUAGGAAUCUGCCUGGUAGUGGGGAUAACGUCCGGAAACGGGCGCUAAUACCGCAUACGUCCUGAGAGAGAAAGUGGGGGAUCUUCGGACCUCACGCUAUCAGAUGAGCCUAGGUCGGAUUAGCUAGUUGGUGGGUAAAGGCCUACCAAGGCGACGAUCCGUAACUGGUCUGAGAGGAUGAUCAGUCACACUGGAACUGAGACACGGUCCAGACUCCUACGGGAGGCAGCAGUGGGGAAUAUUGGACAAUGGGCGAAAGCCUGAUCCAGCCAUGCCGCGUGUGUGAAGAAGGUCUUCGGAUUGUAAAGCACUUUAAGUUGGGAGGAAGGGCAGUAAGUUAAUACCUUGCUGUUUUGACGUUACCAACAGAAUAAGCACCGGCUAACUUCGUGCCAGCCGCCGCGGU
This 515-nucleotide ribosomal RNA is filed under the name uncultured microorganism. Its description in RNAcentral is "bacterial SSU rRNA". It matches the Rfam family "Bacterial small subunit ribosomal RNA", at positions 9 to 521 of the family's 1533-position model. The record is from RNAcentral.